UGGGGAAUUUUGGACAAUGGGCGAAAGCCUGAUCCAGCAAUGCCGCGUGUGUGAAGAAGGCCUUCGGGUUGUAAAGCACUUUUAGUAGGGAAGAAGCGAAAGUGACGGUACCUGCAGAAAAAGCACCGGCUAACUACGUGCCAGCAGCCGCGGUAAUACGUAGGGUGCGAGCGUUGUCCGGAAUUAUUGGGCGUAAAGAGCUCGUAGGCGGUCUGUCGCGUCUGCUGUGAAAACCCGAGGCUCAACCUCGGGCCUGCAGUGGGUACGGGCAGACUAGAGUGCGGUAGGGGGAGAAUGGAAUUCCUGAUGUAGCGGUGGAAUGCGCAGAUAUCAGGAGGAACACCGAUGGCGAAGGCAGUUCUCUGGGCCGUAACUGACGCUGAGGAGCGAAACGCGUGGGGAGCGAACAGGAUUAGAUACCCUGGUAGUCCACGCCGUAAAACGUUGGGCGCUAGAUGUGGGGACCAUUCCACGGUUUCCGUGUCGCAGCUAACGCAUUAAGCG
This 504-nucleotide ribosomal RNA is filed under the name uncultured bacterium. Its description in RNAcentral is "partial 16S ribosomal RNA". It matches the Rfam family "Bacterial small subunit ribosomal RNA", at positions 355 to 866 of the family's 1533-position model. The record is from RNAcentral.